GACAGAGGGGGCAAGCGUUGCUCGGAAUUACUGGGCGUAAAGGGCGCGUAGGCGGAAUGGCAAGUCGGUCGUGAAAUCCUUCGGCUCAACCGAAGAACGUCGAUCGAAACUGCCGUUCUUGAGGAUUGCAGAGGAGACUGGAAUUCCCGGUGUAGCGGUGAAAUGCGCAGAUAUCAGGAGGAACACCGGUGGCGAAGGCGGUGGUCUGGGCCGGCACUGACGCUGAGGAGCGAAAGCGUGGGGAGCGAACAGG
Molecule: ribosomal RNA, 253 nt
Filed under: uncultured bacterium
Lineage: Bacteria
Description: partial 16S ribosomal RNA
Rfam family: Bacterial small subunit ribosomal RNA
Source: RNAcentral